AGCAGCCGCGGUAAUUCCAGCUCCAAUUGCGUAUAUUAAAGUUGUUGCAGUUAAAAAGCUCGUAGUUGAAUUUCGAGACCGGCUUAUUGGUCGUGCUUUUGUACGUACUGGUAUAAUCGGUUUCUCCUUUCUGACGAACUAUAAUGCCAUUAAUUUGGCGUUAUAGGGAAUCAGGACUGUUACUUUGAAAAAUUAGAGUGUUUAAAGCAAGCUCACGCUUGAAUACAUUAGCAUGGAAUAACGGAAUAGGACGUUUGAUUCUAUUUUGUUGGUUUCUAGGAUCGACGUAAUGAUUAAUAGGGAUAGUUGGGGGCAUUAGUAUUCAAUUGUUAGAGGUGAAAUUCUUGGAUUUAUUGAAGACUAACUACUGCGAAAGCAUUUGCCAAGGAUGUUUUCAUUAAUCAAGAACGAAAGUUAGGGGAUCGAAGACGAUCAGAUACCGUCGUAGUC
This 450-nucleotide ribosomal RNA is filed under the name uncultured Glomeromycotina. RNAcentral's name for it is "SSU rRNA". It matches the Rfam family "Eukaryotic small subunit ribosomal RNA", at positions 569 to 1025 of the family's 1831-position model. Lineage: Eukaryota; Fungi; Glomeromycota. The record is from RNAcentral.